CUUGGCUGAAGCAUAGAAGAAACACCAAUGAGACAUCUGGCAAAAAAGAAACCUGCUUAUGAAAAUGAUGCAUGAAAUGCAAUGCUUGUUUAUUUAUUUUUAUUUUCAGGGUACUUACUAUAUCAUUUGCAAAUAUAUAUAUAUCAACAAUUGCAAUAAUUUUUACAUGACCAAAAAUCUUUUUUCAUUUAUAUAAUUGGAAGGAUUAUACUGAGUACAAUUUCAGAAACCAAUUGAAAAAUACAAGAAAAAAGGAGACUGGCCAUCCUAAGG
Molecule: long non-coding RNA, 273 nt
Filed under: Lathyrus oleraceus (garden pea)
Lineage: Eukaryota; Viridiplantae; Streptophyta; Magnoliopsida; Fabales; Fabaceae
Description: Pisum sativum (pea) long non-coding RNA (PSAT_LNC038498)
Source: RNAcentral